UAAAGUUGCAUGGUCGCGGCAAGGGCCAUCGAACCACCGCGAGUGGAGCCUCACACAUGCACGGGUCAGUGGACUGGUAGCGGGAGAACAGAGAGCGGACGUCGGUGAGAUCACUGCGGCGACGUCAUCUGAGCUGGGAUCCGGACAUCGAAAGGGCGGGAGAAUCCGUGCCCCUGAUUGGACGGGAGGCCAAGGGUCGGAAAGAGCAAAAAUUCCUUUGUUGUAGGUAGGAUAAAAAGGAAGGGGAUUGGGGUAGCAAGGGGGUUCUUCUUCUGGUUCAAGAUCAUCGCGGUUCCGGGAGCAGGAGAGUCAGCCAUCCGAGACGUCCGUGAGACGUACUCCAGCAUCGGCAGGCUCGUCGCCUCAUUCCCUCACAACGAGAGACUAUUUCAGAAGCGCGACCAACCACAGACAAGCGGGAGAGGAAACAGCAAAUUACCCCAAGCUUUGCGGUCCUCUUCAUACGAAGAAGACUUCGACGAAUUAAAGAAUGUUUACAAGUGGGGAAAAAAAUCGCAGUACCCAGAGAAAACCCACUCGUGCGAGGGGGCAACGUUGGAGUCCGUACAGAUGGAAGGCGUGGAGUCCACAUUCGAUGCACUGCCAUCUCCUCGCAAGGCAGGAUGGCGCUGUGGUUCGCGUAGUAUGAUGAGCCAGGUUACCUGAGUUCGAUUCCCACUCAUUCCCAAUAACAGUUACGAAUAUGUGAACUGGUUCGAGUUCGUCUCAGCCCUUUUUUGAGUUGUUGAUGCAGUGUGUAAAUUGAAGGCGCGGUAUACAAGCAGUCCCCGACUUACGAACAUAUGACUGACGAACAUCCACCCUUACGAUUGAACCGCCAGUUGCUGUUGUUUUAAACAUCUGACUUGCGAACGUUCGCACGUACUCGCGAAUUAAACAGCGGAACUCCUUUGUUUGGCAGAGCAAUCA
This is a non-coding RNA of Petromyzon marinus (sea lamprey), 930 nucleotides long. NCBI's taxonomy places the organism in Eukaryota, Metazoa, Chordata, Hyperoartia, Petromyzontiformes, Petromyzontidae. The record is from RefSeq and is a predicted model, not a curated record.